Molecule: RNA transcript, 5113 nt
Organism: Cyprinus carpio (common carp)
Lineage: Eukaryota; Metazoa; Chordata; Actinopteri; Cypriniformes; Cyprinidae
Gene name: ufm1-specific protease 2-like
Exons: 11
Source: RefSeq, a predicted model, not a curated record
AAUUUACUCGAGGAAGAUGAGAUGGUCCUCACUGCCUUUCUUUUACUAUUUUUUGUCUAUGCUCACUGCAGAAAAAAAGCAUCGGAGUUUCGCCUCUUGGUUUUCUAUACUCUUUGCUGCAGAACACAAGUGGAACUACUCCCACUUUAUUAACUUCCACCGGAUAAUCCUGCAUACAUGUUUUUUUUCUCUUCCUCUUUUCCCUCUUUCCCGUUAAUGCUUCACACUCCAGUCCAGUUGGUGGAGGAAGUACACCACAAGUUGGCUUGUCAACCCCCAUUAAAUCGUACAAGAAGAAAAAGAAGAACCUGCAUCCAUAUUUGUAAAGUUGCAACCCGUUGUGGCCUACGUUUAAUCUUAUCAAUAUGCACAGAACAGUGUUGCGGCAUGAGAAGAUUGCCCUUCAGAGAUGCCAAAGCUGUUGCUCUAAUUACCAUUGCCCCUUCUGCGGACCAAAAGUGUUCAAACCCUCCAUGAAUCAUCAUGUGGUGCAGAAUCAUGUCUGCAACCACUUAUCUUUGGCAGUACAGCAUGAAGAAUUCCUGAUUGUCAAGUGCAACUUGCAGUGUAGAGAACAGGCACAUUUUCACUGUUGUUAUUGCCCAAACACAGUUAUAAGGAAAGUCCAGAUUGUAAAACAUUUAGCAUCAUGCAAAAAAAGACAAGUUCCACCUACAGAACCAGCCACUGUUGAGCCAGCAAUCAGUGAACCAAUUGUUACCUGUGAACCCGUUGUCCCCAGUGCAUCAGUUGCCAACAGUGAACCAAUUGUUCCCAGUGCACCAGUUGCCUUUAAAGAAUCAGCUGUGGCUGAAGGUGUCCACUUGCCUGUUAAAUCCCUGCUCGUUCCCAAAAAAUUGCGUAUUCAGAAAAAAGUGCAGUGCGGUCAGUGUGGAAUAACUGUCAACAAGAAAAAUCUAGAUGUUCAUGUUAAAAGAAAACACACUGGUAAGAUCUGUGAUGUUACAGAAGAUCGUCACCUACCUUCACAGUGCAUCGACCCAGUGAGUGGUAUAUAUGCGGUUGAAAAGUCAUUUCGCAGACCAUGUUCUGUAAUCCACGUACAGAAAAAAAACUCGGGUCCACAUCCAGUUGUCACAUGUGAAUUGGAUCAAUGCAUUUCCAGUGUAGACUUUGCCGCUCAAAGUGGCUUCCAGCACUUUGAGUGUAUACAUUUGAAGUCACUGCAGUUAUGUCCAUGGCCCAACAGUAUACCAGUUGUCCUUGAUGAAGAUGUCCUGGCAGACAUAAUAGCUCCAAAUGAGUUUGGGGAACAGACCAAGACAAACUGUGUGGCUACUAAGGCAGCAGCAAGUGCGGCUGGUGUUCCACUGUCUGUUGAGUUGACCAUUGGAGGUCCUUCUACAAAGAAGUAUAUUUCUGUGUAUGAACCCAAAGUGUCAUACUACAGCAGACUUGGUAGAGUCAUUGCCUCCUAUGACAGCACUCGCAACACAUGGCAUUGUCCCUGUGCAAAGCCAAGAAGAUCUUGUUUGCACAAAAACAUAGCCAGGUGGCAUCUUUUUCAGCUACACAGGCAGUUGUUUGUAUCAUCAUUUGUCGACAGACCUGAACAGUGCCUAACACAAGAACAUGCUAGUUGAGGUGGUCCUCAAUGCAGAACUCAAGAUCCAGGGGCGUGGUUGAAUCCAGAUCCAAUUCCUCCCUCCUUAGAUACACCUAAACCUACCCUUAUCCAUCCCCUGAUCCCUAAACCCACCAAACUCCACCAUCUCCACCCCCUAGAUAUGGAUCCAACCACACCCCCUGGAUCUUGAGUUCUGUAGUGAGGGGCUACUGGGCUUGUCAGGGAAGUACCAGAUUGAAAUAUCCCCCUAGUGGUGAAGUUCUCAAACAGUUGGUGUAUUACCUGAUGAAAAACAAAACUCCCCCAGAAAUACAUCAUAGGCUCAGUGACAUUCCCAAACACCUUGUGCCAAAGGAGACUGUUUGCUCUGAAUGUCCGGGCAAUGUGGACCUAAGCCAGUGUUGAUUACUUCUAAAGGAAAACUUAUAACAUACACUGGCAUUGUUGAGGGAUUUUCUACAUACUACCGCAUGUGCAGCAACUGUGGUCUAAAAUACCUUUAUCAAAAGUGGACUGAUGGUCUUCGCAAUUUUGAUGGUCAUUUGCUGAUGUCAUUACACAUGCAUUAUCCUGCACCAUUCACUCCAGACUCAUCAUGCCAUCAGCAGAGCUGUCGAGGUUUUGGAGACCACAACACAACAGAAAUUUCCAAGUAAAGACUAAAUCCUUCAUGCAUGCAUGCAUUUUAAAAGCACUGACAGACCACAAAUACACAUACUCCUGUGUCAAGUGCGGCUACCAUCCAGCAUUUGUUGUGAUGGAUCUUCACAAAAAGGUGACUUUUAAUAUGUCUGGUAGGUCAUAACAAAAUUAGAGCUACUUAAUAAUAAAAAUACAUGUUCUUUGUUUCAUUGAGAAUUUUUAUUACAGUGAGUGACAUUCCUGCAAUAGUAUGAUGGUUGAGUCAAUAUAAACGACUUUUGGGCAUCCCUGACUGCCAAAAUAGCCUGUUGGGCAGUAAGGAGUUAUUUUAUGUUUAUGCGUCAAGCAUAGCUACAAUAACUGCAUUACACUAAAUUGAGCAAAGGAAGGUACUACCCAAAUGUGUAUCUAUUUUGAAGGUUUCACUAUUUUACUUAUUGAUAAAGUAAAUUUUUUUCAGGUGCUCGUCAAAAUAUUUUUUUUGUCACCAUCAUACAACUACUGGGCUCCUUGGAUAGGUCCCAACACCAGAAAAGAUACAGUUUUAAAUACUGAGUAUGCCCCAAUUAAUGCCCCAAGACCAGCUACUGAAGAUGCCAAACUUGGUUACCGAACAGAGGCUAGAAGAAGUGCUUACCAAUCUUAAGGUUAUUUUGUUGUUUUGCUUUUAGCAGAAUGUGUCCCUUUAAGACCUUAUUUGGGAUGACUAAAAGAGCCCACUACUGAAAAUAACAAGCUGGCUGUUGAGCUGAAAGUAAAUCUCCUUUGGCUGAAGGGAAAGAAGGACAAUGUGGACCCAGACUGUCACUCAGUUACAGGUUCAGCUGAACAUUAUGCACUUUUUCGAUCUGUUUCAUGAAAUGAACACAAAAGAUGCUCGAGAUGCAGAUAAAAGUGGCCAAAUUAUAAUGGGUAACUCGGUUCAUUUUCAACUACAAUUUCUUUCUAUAUCUUUAUGCCUGUUAUGCCAUGUUGGUUAUAUUACAUUAUAUUACAGAAGCCACAGCCUCAGAUGGUGCAUCUGCAUCCUUGGCUAGGCUGAUGUGUGCUAAAAGAGAAAAGACUUACGGCACUGGGAAUGCCCAAAGACUUUGGUAAAUGCACUUUUGACAGUAUUCAGUGGACCUGUUGAUUGUCAUGAUUUCUCAACACUUGUUUGUGCUCCGCAAUGUGGAAUAUACAAGACCAAUGCACUGGUCUAUUUGCAUUUGAUUGAUUUACAUAUAUUCACAUGUUAUGAAGCCCAUGUUCAGGUUUUCUUCUAAUAUUUAGGGACUGUUUUUUUCCGAGUUUAGUACUAGGUUUGGGACUGUUAUUUGUCCCCUGUUCUGUGCAAGGUUUGAGACUGUGCUUUUGUCGUCCGCUGUUAAGUGCAAAGUUUUGGCAGUAUUAACUGCUUUGUGUACUUUUUAAUGUUUGCUGAUGUGAUGGUCCUUGCUUAAAAGAUCCAACACUAUCUCUAUCGUAAAAACUGAGACUGAUUUAUUCAGAAAUGUGGCCAUUCUUACAUUCCAUUUUGAAAUUCCUCCUUCUACACCCAAAUCUGUUGAAAUUCAGUAGUUAGCACUAGGAAGGUUAUAUAAAGAUUGGGUUUAGGCCUUGUCAACCAAUGAAAGAAUGGCAUGUAGGAGUUGAAUCAGGAUGUAUGUGGAAGUAAAGACCAUCUCUGAGCUUUUUUCUUUUCUUUUUUUUUUUUAUUAGUGUGUUUGCUUUCUGCUUGUGUAUGCUUUCCCUCUGCAACAGUAGACAACACAGUACAUGUCAAACUUGCUGCUGCAGCCCAGUUAGCGGGUUGUCAGAAUCAGACCUAUAGAGGUGGAUGGUACGUUUAAAAUGGUUUUCAACUUUUAAGAAGUUUUAACUGUGUAUCUGUUCUCUUUUGGAGCAUGAUCACAAAAAAGCUCGUUAAAAACAAGGUACAUAACACUCAGCAUUCAACACUGCUUUUUGACAACUGUAAUCAAUACAAAAUUUAUAUAGUACGUUUUGGAUUUUUGCCAGGAUAUUCCAUUGCAGAGAGACAGCUUGGACUGUGGAGUGUUCAUGCUAAUGUGGGAGGAGCUACAACUCCGCCUCCUGGUUCUUGUGUUCUGCAGUGAGGGACUACUGGGGACCAUAGACAGUAAAAGGAACGUGUUAUUAUACGUCAUCAAAUAUGUCAGCCUCCUGGUGAUAGCAGCUGAAUUUGAUCAUCGAUCGAGGGAAUUAAAAUGGUUCAUUCAGAAGAGUGCGACAUAAUAUUUCGAUUGAAAGGAAUCUUGGAGUUUGCUUGCCAGCUUGACAAUCCAAAUGAUGCACAAAGUCAAGGCACAAUAUCAAAAGGUUUCCAGGGUCUCCAAUCCAAAGUAUCAUCCAAAAAUAUUGUUUUAACUGUCUGUAACAGUCCAGUAUUAAUAUGGCCUAACGCUGGUUUCCAGUCAAACGUGGAAAGCUUGACAGAAGCAUCAUCAUGUGGAGAUAUUCUGCAGUAUAUAAAGUCAGAUGAUGGUGGGAGCAAGAAGUCAUCAAAAAAGAAAGAUAAGAAAAAAUCUGGACCUACUGUAGUGAAUAUGAAGCUGUUGUUUGAGGUCACAGAACCUGCUGGGAAUGAAGCUCCUAGUCUCAUCCGAGUGAGCACACAGCAGCACUGUGUGAAGAUGCCACUGCCUUUAGACUGUGUUCUGUCUGUGACCACUGAUGAGAGCCUGGCAACUGUGUGUACAGGGCUGGUGAAGGCAUUAAAUAAGCAGUUAGCAGACAUGGAAGAGGUGGUGCUAUGAUACAGGAAGGGCUCCUCUUUCCUGGUGCCACAGCCAUUUCACUUUCAACUGCCUGAACCAGCUGGGUUCACUACUGUAAUCUACCCUGCAGGAGUGCCAGACAGCCAGCUACAGGCCGCCAGAG